AACGAACGCUGGCGGCGUGCCUAACACAUGCAAGUCGAACGGGAAUUGCGGGGCAACUCGCAUAAUACCGUGGCGCACGGGUGAGUAAUACGUAGGUAACCUACCUCUUGCUGGGGAAUAACUCCGGGAAACCGAAGCUAAUUCCGCAUACGUCUCACGAACUUCGGUUCGUGAUAGAAAGGUGGCCUCUGCAUGCAAGCUAUCGACGAGAGAUGGGCCUGCGCACCAUUAGCUAGUUGGUGAGGUAAUGGCUCACCAAGGCUGUGAUGGUUAGCUGAUCUGAGAGGAUGAUCAGCCACACUGGAACUGAGACACGGUCCAGACUCCUACGGGAGGAAGCAGUGGGGAAUAUUGCGCAAUGGGCGAAAGCCUGACGCAGCAACGCCGCGUGAGUGAUGAAGGCCUUCGGGUCGUAAAACUCUGUCAGGAGGAACGAAACUUCGCAGGUAACAACACGCCUGCGGAUUGACGGUACCUCCAGAGGAAGCACCGGCUAACUCCGUGCCAGCCGCCGCGGUAA
This 520-nucleotide ribosomal RNA is filed under the name uncultured bacterium. Its description in RNAcentral is "partial 16S ribosomal RNA". It matches the Rfam family "Bacterial small subunit ribosomal RNA", at positions 29 to 523 of the family's 1533-position model. The record is from RNAcentral.